Clupea harengus (Atlantic herring) is the source of this 993-nucleotide long non-coding RNA. RefSeq lists it as uncharacterized. The transcript has 3 exons. The record is from RefSeq and is a predicted model, not a curated record. NCBI's taxonomy places the organism in Eukaryota, Metazoa, Chordata, Actinopteri, Clupeiformes, Clupeidae.
AAUGCUUUGAUGAAAAGGGAUUGGUCUAUCACAUCACCCCGGAAGAUGGACGGGGCCCGGACAAAAACAUCCACCGCUCAGAGCUGAGGGUGUUGCCCUCCCAGGCCCCACAGUCAAUCCAAGCGCCCUCAGACCAGCUAGUAAGUGACAUGAGUAAUGAGGGGAGUAGAAGUCCAGGUAGUGACAAGGAAGAGGAGGCAGUAUGGAUCCACUUGCUACCUCAUCCACAAUCCGAGGCCAUACCCAAGGAUAUACCAGAGCAUGCCGGGACUUGGAACCAGCCACAAACACUCACCUUCCGGUCCCAAACAGAUGGCACUCAAGAGAACCAAACCCCGCCAGAGGUAGACAUUGGUGCAAACUGGACCCUCCCAAACACGGAACAGGAACGUUCCCAAGGUCCAAGCAGCCCUCAGGAAGACCCAUCAAGACGGCCGAGGCGAACACAAGCCGGCCAGCACUCAAACCCCUUUCGGUUGCCUCGGUCUGCCACCCAACAGCUGGAGACUCAACAACACUCCAUUUCUUAUGUCUCUCCAAACUGCUAUUAUAGGCCUUGGGAUUAACAGGCACCGGGACGGUGGCCUUUUAAAGUAGGGGGAAUAUGUGACGGGUGGAAGGGGUUGCCCUUAGCAGGUGUACAGCCCGUCACCUGAUUGUGCCUGGUGCACGUGACGUGACGUUACACGGUAGCUCACAGUGACCCGCACUUCCUAUUUGUUUUAAAUGCCAUUCACGCGGCAAACGCAGCAUGUUUGGUUUGGCUCUGUCGGCGGUGAAUAUUAAGCACAAUACGGAUCUGCUUGUUCGUUGGAAUAUAACGCCAGUAGGAUUGUGAAGUGUUGCCUCUAACAGACGAACAGUUUUCACACCUACAACGCAUUUGGAACACUGGCGUCUUAACAUCGCAUGCGGGAUUUUAUGAGGAACACUGUAUAUCACUGUUUUUCCCAUAGCUAAUUUAUGAUGAGACAAGCACUUGAAUUGAGCUAC